This 465-nucleotide ribosomal RNA is filed under the name uncultured bacterium. RNAcentral describes it as "partial 16S ribosomal RNA". It matches the Rfam family "Bacterial small subunit ribosomal RNA", at positions 338 to 795 of the family's 1533-position model. The record is from RNAcentral.
CCUACGGGAGGCAGCAGUAGGGAAUCUUCCACAAUGGGCGAAAGCCUGAUGGAGCAACGCCGCGUGGGUGAAGAAGGUCUUCGGAUCGUAAAACCCUUUUGUUAGAGAAGAAAGUGCGUGAGAGUAACUGUUCACGUUUCGACGGUAUCUAACCAGAAAGCCACGGCUAACUGCGUGCCCGCAGCCGCGGUAAUACGUAGGUGGCAAGCGUUGUUCGGAUUUAUUGGGCGUAAAGGGAACGCAGGCGGUCUUUUAAGUCUGAUGUGAAAGCCUUCGGCUUAACCGGAGUAGUGCAUUGGAAACUGGGAGACUUGAGUGCAGAAGAGGAGAGUGGAACGCCAUGUGUAGCGGUGAAAUGCGUAGAUAUAUGGAAGAACUCCAGUGGCGAAAGCGGCUCUCUGGUCUGUAACUGACGCUGAGGUUCGAAAGCGUGGGUAGCAAACAGGAUGAGAUACCCGGGUAGUC